Molecule: ribosomal RNA, 460 nt
Filed under: uncultured bacterium
Lineage: Bacteria
Description: partial 16S ribosomal RNA
Rfam family: Bacterial small subunit ribosomal RNA
Source: RNAcentral
CCUACGGGGGGCAGCAGUGAGGAAUAUUGGUCAAUGGACGAGAGCCUGAACCAGCCAAGUCGCGUGAAGGAUGACUGCCCUAUGGGUUGUAAACUUCUUUUGUCUGGGAGCAAUUGGGUCCACGUGUGGGAUUUUGUAUGUACCAUAUGAAUAAGGAUCGGCUAACUCCGUGCCAGCAGCCGCGGUAAUACGGAGGAUCCGAGCGUUAUCCGGAUUUAUUGGGUUUAAAGGGAGCGUAGGUGGAUUGUUAAGUCAGUUGUGAAAGUUUGCGGCUCAACCGUAAAAUUGCAGUUGAAACUGGCAGUCUUGAGUACAGUAGAGGUGGGCGGAAUUCGUGGUGUAGCGGUGAAAUGCUUAGAUAUCACGAAGAACUCCGAUUGCGAAGGCAGCUCACUGGACUGCAACUGACACUGAGGCUCGAAAGUGUGGGUAUCAAACAGGAUUAGAUACCCCUGUAGUC